GCCUCUGUAGCUCAGUUGGUUAGAGCGCUGUACCGGAAUCGCAGGGCCGCAUUUUCGAUUCCUGCCAGAAGUC
Molecule: transfer RNA, 73 nt
Filed under: Paramuricea clavata
Lineage: Eukaryota; Metazoa; Cnidaria; Anthozoa; Malacalcyonacea; Plexauridae
Rfam family: tRNA
About the family: Transfer RNA (tRNA) molecules are approximately 80 nucleotides in length. Their secondary structure includes four short double-helical elements and three loops (D, anti-codon, and T loops).
Source: Rfam by way of RNAcentral